This 254-nucleotide ribosomal RNA is filed under the name uncultured bacterium. RNAcentral's name for it is "partial 16S ribosomal RNA". It matches the Rfam family "Bacterial small subunit ribosomal RNA", at positions 524 to 776 of the family's 1533-position model. The record is from RNAcentral.
UACGAAGGGGGCUAGCGUUGCUCGGAAUCACUGGGCGUAAAGGGCGCGUAGGUGGUGGCUUAAGCGUGCGGUGAAAGCUCGGGGCUCAACUCCGAGUCGGCCGUGCGAACUGGGCUCACUGGAGCAUAGUAGAGGCAGGUGGAAUUCCGGGUGUAGCGGUGGAAUGCGUAGAUAUCGGGAGGAACACCAGUGGCGAAGGCGGUUGCCUGGAGCUUUGCUGACGCUGAGGCGCGAAAGCGUGGGGAGCGAUCCGG